Molecule: ribosomal RNA, 870 nt
Filed under: Triticum aestivum (bread wheat)
Lineage: Eukaryota; Viridiplantae; Streptophyta; Magnoliopsida; Poales; Poaceae
Description: partial small subunit ribosomal RNA
Source: RNAcentral
AUGGAUCUAAUUCUUCCAUUUAAAAUUGGAGAUUUUGCCGAGGCAAAGUGCUUUGAUGAAGGUUUCAAAGGCGCAUGGUUCCGCUCGAAGAUAAAAGAUAUGCGUGUCACAGAAUCUGGGCAUCUUGAGUAUUACUUGGAGUAUAUUGACUAUACUGAAGAAGCCAACGAAUGGAUUGGAGUCUUCCAAAAGAACCCAUUCAACCCACCAUGCCUGGAAGGGAAAUCAAAUGGCAGUACUGAAAUAAUGUUGCGUCCUUCCUUUCCUCGGUGGUAUAGGGGGCAACACGCUCCUAGGCACUUUCCGAAGAGCGAGGUGAUAGCACAUGUUCAUGAUGCCUGGAAAGUAGGUGAUUGGGUUGACUGGCAUAAUAAAGAUUGCUACUGGACUGGGCAGAUUAUUGAGUUGACCAGUAAAAAUGUGGUUGAGGUAAAAUUCUUGGAUCAUCCCAUGGGUGAAGGCCAGCAGUGUCUUGCUAAGAAAAAGGACCUGAGGCCUGCGCUUGAUUGGUCCAUCAUUAAAGGCUGGACUGUGCCUCUUUCGACGGCAAAAGGGAAAAGCUGGCAAGCUGCUCAUCUGGUUCAUCCUCAAUCUGAUGUAGAAGAGAGGAGCAGCACAGAUGAAGAUGAAGCUCUGGGAUCUUCAUCAACCGUCAAAACACCUUCGUCGGACAGAAACACCGUAUCUAAGCUAAGCAAUCAGAGGAUGGCGACACACAUAUCAUUAGACCCCAGUCGACGGCGUACCCGCAGUUCCUGUGGGCUACUGAUAUCUCCAUUGGAGCCUGCCACCGUCGAACCGAAUGGAAAUAGCGGUUCCCGCCGGUACCCCUUUCGGGUCCGAAGGAACGCAGCGGAACAGCAGAGAUAA